RNAcentral lists this non-coding RNA (28 nucleotides) under Rattus norvegicus (Norway rat). The record is from RNAcentral. Lineage: Eukaryota; Metazoa; Chordata; Mammalia; Rodentia; Muridae.
UAGAUUAAUUGUAAUAGGAUGGUGUAAU